AUCCAGCUGACUAGUCCCAAAUAGGAAGAAAUGCGCGUCCUGGAU
This 45-nucleotide non-coding RNA is filed under the name Schistosoma haematobium. Lineage: Eukaryota; Metazoa; Platyhelminthes; Trematoda; Strigeidida; Schistosomatidae. The record is from RNAcentral.